Molecule: ribosomal RNA, 292 nt
Filed under: uncultured bacterium
Lineage: Bacteria
Description: partial 16S ribosomal RNA
Rfam family: Bacterial small subunit ribosomal RNA
Source: RNAcentral
GUGUCAGCCGCCGCGGUAAUACGAAGGGGGCGAGCGUUGUUCGGAUUUACUGGGCGUAAAGGGCGCGUAGGCGGCCCUCCUUGUCGCGUGUGAAAGCCCCGGGCUCAACCUGGGAAUGGCGCGCGAAACGGGGGGGCUGGAGUUCGGGAGAGGAGCGUGGAAUUCCCAGUGUAGAGGUGAAAUUCGUAGAUAUUGGGAAGAACACCGGUGGCGAAGGCGGCGCUCUGGACCGAGACUGACGCUGAGGCGCGAAAGCGUGGGGAGCAAACAGGAUUAGAUACCCUGGUAGUCC